Molecule: ribosomal RNA, 301 nt
Filed under: uncultured bacterium
Lineage: Bacteria
Description: partial 16S ribosomal RNA
Rfam family: Bacterial small subunit ribosomal RNA
Source: RNAcentral
CAGUAGCCGCGGGAACACAGAGGGUGCAAGCGUUAAUCGGAAUUACUGGGCGUAAAGCGCGCGUAGGUAGUUUGUUAAGUUGGAUGUGAAAGCCCCGGGCUCAACCUGGGAACUGCAUCCAAAACUGGCAAGCUAGAGUACGGUAGAGGGUGGUGGAAUUUCCUGUGUAGCGGUGAAAUGCGUAGAUAUAGGAAGGAACACCAGUGGCGAAGGCGACCACCUGGACUGAUACUGACACUGAGGUGCGAAAGCGUGGGGAGCAAACAGGAUUAGAUACCCGAGUAGUCCCUGUCUCUUAUAC